AGCUACUGCUGUGUGGGGACAGCCGGCCGGAGAGCCAGGGCUCAGCGGAUCCAGUUGCAAUGCAUUUUCUAAGAACAUUCUGAUGUAAAAUCCCAUGGAUUUUACGGUGUGCUGCACAGACCCACGGCACAGUGAGUGGAAAGUCAUCCAAGCGUCUAGUCUUCCUGGGUCAGCAGUAUAGAAUGGGUUCAGGAGUGUGUGACUCUUGUACACUUCAAAAGCCUGGAGACAAGUACUUCCCAGCUGUGCGGCAGAAGUGGGCCCUGGGUACAGAGCCGGAAGAUUCCAGAUUCUCUGCAUCGCUGACCCAGAGCUGCCUCCAUAUCCCUGGCUGCUCAGAGAGGCCUGAAGGCCCCAAGAGCAGGUGCAGGGGAGCGGGUGGCUCUGGCUGUUAUAUAUUGAGGCAGGGCCGCUGGCUCCUGCUUCGACCUCUCUGCCUUUGAACUGGUUGUCCUGGGACAGAAUACUGUAUGCAGCCAGCACUAAAAUGACAGAGUUCUCAUGCACCAUUAGACAAUGUGCCCAGACCAUGGUGGAUUUUGGAUUCUUCUUGAAGGCGGGUUCCUAGGUUGUGGGGAGUUGGCUCUGCUGGUGGGGGAGGCCAGGGCUCCGUUCAUCGCCUUGCUGAGUUCCCUGUGACUGCAGGCUUCCCCCAGGCUGCAGGAAUAUAUCACCACGCCAUUGUCACAGGAGCUUGGGUAGCUGAAAAGUGGCCAAGGGACUCGAACAUCUGUAUUUUCUAUGGAAAGAUAAUAGAAUUCAUUUUCCAAUUGUUCAUCGAGGUAAAAAUGCUGAAUUCAAUCUCCAUGUAUGACACUUGCAGGGAAAUUUGAAACGGGGAUGUUCAGGACGGCUGUGGGGGUUUCCGUGCUAAUGCCAUUUUACAGACUCACUGGCCGUACCCCCGCCUUGGUACCCGAGGCAUUUCAGUGACAUGCGAACCUGGAAGAUGAAGAGCAGGUCUCUCCUACACUGAAAUGGGUUCCUGCUGGCACAGUGCAUCGCUCCUCUGCACAUAGGUUUAUAUUCAAGGUUGGAAAAGAGAGAGCUGCCCAGCCUCAGGAGUGUACCCACCAGGAAGUCCGCUGCUGCUGGUCGUCCAUGGGAAGAGAGCCCACAGGCAUCUGCCACAUGACCGUGGUGGCAUCACUGGCUGAGGAGGCACAGCCCUGCCAGAUGUUGUACAGUCUUUGCCUUUAAUUCUGGUCCUUCCUGCUGGCUCCCCGUCAUCAUGUGACUCUUUUUCCUCCUUCUUGGGUAACGGAUGAGAGCAAUGAUACAGGAGUUAAGAAGAAAUGACUUAGGCAGAUAGUGAGGGUAGGGAAGUCCUCGGUAAGGCUUUCCUUUUAAUGAAAAGCAGCCCCAAAUCAUUUUCCUUUCUAACAAAGAGCAGCCUGUAAAAUCAAGCUGUGGCAUAGAUGCGGGCAGUUGUGCCAAUCAUGUUCAAAAUGGCGGCUCCAUCUUCCCUUCUGUCAGGCAGCUGUACAGUGAGGAGCAGACAAGAUGGCGCCGGCCAAGGGGAAAGUUCAUUUGCGUAAUAAGAUCUGGGUGGGGCGGCCAGUCUUCCCCGAGCGCUACCUAAACGUCAUACGUGAUCGAACCAAUCUGUGAGCCCCACGUAAAUCAGACACCGCCUCUUCAAGCUGGACUAGAAAAAUCCAGCGCAUCCACCUGCUGGCCUAUUCCUCUGGGAAGUUCCCUCUCUCGCUCUCCAGAGAGAGCUGUUUCCUUUCUCUUUUUCUUGCUCCUAAACUCCUCGUGUGUGUCCGUGUCCUAAAUUUUCCUGGCACGAGAGGAUGAACCCCAGGUAUUUACCCCAGACAAGGUAGCCACUUGGGUAACAGUCUGUCAAGUUUACCCCAAGGCCAUGCAGUUUUGUUGUUGGGGGGAUUUGCAUAUUUCUUUUGUAAAAAUAUUGUUACAAUUAAACCCAGUUGAGUAAAGUGUGCCCAUG
This 1954-nucleotide long non-coding RNA is filed under the name Macaca mulatta (Rhesus monkey). RNAcentral describes it as "lncRNA (ENSMMUG00000058501.1)". Lineage: Eukaryota; Metazoa; Chordata; Mammalia; Primates; Cercopithecidae. The record is from RNAcentral.